GUGCCCGUAGCUCAGCUGGAUAGAGCACAAAAUUCCUAAUUUUGGGGUCGGAGGUUCAAGUCCUCUCGGGCACACCA
RNAcentral lists this transfer RNA (77 nucleotides) under Alphaproteobacteria bacterium. Its description in RNAcentral is "tRNA-Arg". It matches the Rfam family "tRNA". From Rfam's summary of the family: Transfer RNA (tRNA) molecules are approximately 80 nucleotides in length. Their secondary structure includes four short double-helical elements and three loops (D, anti-codon, and T loops). Further hydrogen bonds mediate the characteristic L-shaped molecular structure. tRNAs have two regions of fundamental functional importance: the anti-codon, which is responsible for specific mRNA codon recognition, and the 3' end, to which the tRNAs corresponding amino acid is attached (by aminoacyl-tRNA synthetases). tRNAs cope with the degeneracy of the genetic code in two manners: having more than one tRNA (with a specific anti-codon) for a particular amino acid; and 'wobble' base-pairing, i.e. permitting non-standard base-pairing at the 3rd anti-codon position. The record is from RNAcentral. RNAcentral also lists the same sequence under 1 other name. Lineage: Bacteria; Pseudomonadati; Pseudomonadota; Alphaproteobacteria.